AACACAUGCAAGUCGAGCGGAGUUAUUCGCUGUUUGACCCUUCGGGGGAGAACAUGAAUAACUUAGCGGCGGACGGGUGAGUAACGCGUGGAUAAUCUGCCCAACACUCUGGGAUAACACAUGGAAACGUGUGCUAAUACCGGAUAAGCAUACACAGUCGCAUGGCUGAGUGUGAAAAGAUAUAUUGGUGUUGGAGGAGUCCGCGUUAGAUUAGUUAGUUGGUGGGGUAAUGGCCUACCAAGACUGCGAUCUAUAGCCGAACUGAGAGGUUGAUCGGCCACACUGGGACUGAGACACGGCCCAGACUCCUACGGGAGGCAGCAGUGAGGGAUAUUGCACAAUGGACGAAAGUCUGAUGCAGCAACGCCGCGUGAGUGAAGAAGGCCUUCGGGUCGUAAAGCUCUAUCGAUGGGGACGAAGACAAUGACGGUACCCAAGUAAGAAGCCCCGGCUAACUACGUGCCAGCAGCCGCGGUAAAACGUAGGGGGCAAGCGUUAUCCGGAAUUACUGGGUGUAAAGGGUGAGUAGCCGGUUUGGCAAGUCACAUGUGAAAUCCCGAGGCUCAACCUCGGGACUGCAUGAGAAACUGCUAAACUAGAGUGCAGGAGAGGUAAGCGGAAUUCCUUGUGUAGCGGUGAAAUGCGUAGAUAUAAGGAAGAACACCAGUGGCGAAGGCGGCUUACUGGACUGAAACUGACGGUGAGUCACGAAAGCGUGGGGAGCAAACAGGAUUAGAUACCCUGGUAGUCCACGCUGUAAACGAUGAUAGCUAGGUGUCGGGGCGGAAGCUUCGGUGCCGGCGCUAACGCAAUAAGCUAUCCACCUGGGGAGUACGGUCGCAAGACUGAAACUCAAAGGAAUUGACGGGGGCCCGCACAAGCGGUGGAGCAUGGUGGAUUAAUUCCGACGCAACGCGAAAGAACCUUUACCAGGGCUUGACAUGGAAGAUGAACCCGGUAUUAGAAGAAUUAUACUUUUCCCUUCGGGGGCAUCUCACA
RNAcentral lists this ribosomal RNA (999 nucleotides) under uncultured Bacillota bacterium. Its description in RNAcentral is "bacterial SSU rRNA". It matches the Rfam family "Bacterial small subunit ribosomal RNA", at positions 50 to 1036 of the family's 1533-position model. The record is from RNAcentral. Lineage: Bacteria; Bacillati; Bacillota.